GGAUGUGAGGGCCAUCUGGCUGUGACAUCGUCACCCCAUUGAUCACCAGGGUUGAUUCGGCUGAUCUGGCUGGCUAGGUGGGUGUCCCCUUCCCGCCUCACCCCUCCACGUGCGUCCCUCCCAAAGCUGCGUGCUCUGUCGAAGAGGAUGACCUUCCCCGAUAGAGGAGGACCGUUCUUCGGUCAAGUGUAUACGAGUGGCUGCGCUCCCCUGCUAGAACCUCCAAACAAGCUCUCAGAGAGAUGCCUGGUAGCACUUCGUUACAGAGCUAUUUCUACCAUACAUAGAUAAUGGUGGAAUGCAAUAAAGUAAUUAGGAAGUGAUGAGUUUUCAGCAUUAUUACCUUUGUU
This 350-nucleotide small nuclear RNA is filed under the name Prolemur simus (greater bamboo lemur). RNAcentral's name for it is "7SK RNA (ENSPSMG00000006283.1)". The stretch from base 1 to 300 matches the Rfam family "7SK RNA". Rfam says of the family: 7SK was discovered as an abundant small nuclear RNA in the mid-70s but a possible function has only recently been suggested. Two independent studies have found that 7SK RNA binds the CDK9/cyclin T complex (known as elongation factor P-TEFb). P-TEFb activates transcription by phosphorylating the C-terminal domain of RNA polymerase II. Lineage: Eukaryota; Metazoa; Chordata; Mammalia; Primates; Lemuridae. The record is from RNAcentral.